RNAcentral lists this small RNA (257 nucleotides) under Histoplasma ohiense. RNAcentral's name for it is "hypothetical lncRNA". Lineage: Eukaryota; Fungi; Ascomycota; Eurotiomycetes; Onygenales; Ajellomycetaceae. The record is from RNAcentral.
AAUGGUAUGACUAUUUUCAACAAGUCUGGAAUUGGGAUGUAAUGAUCGGAUUUCAUGACAUCCAGAUAUCCUUCUGGGGAUUGGCGCUUACAGUGUCGACGUCUAUUGAAUUUGCACACCCGUGCAAAUAUUCCCCGAAGAGCUUCCAUAAUAUAUGCAGUCAUUGCUUCCACAUAUUUCCAGAAAUUUUCAACAAUUUGUACACAAAUACGAAAUUUAUCCCCAACAAAGCUGUUGUGCGUUCCUUUUUCUCCGGG